UCCUGGCUGGCUCAGCGGUAAAGAAUCUGCCUGUAAUGCAGGAGGCCCAGGUUCAAUCUCUGGGUCAGGAA
Molecule: transfer RNA, 71 nt
Filed under: Bos taurus (domestic cattle)
Lineage: Eukaryota; Metazoa; Chordata; Mammalia; Artiodactyla; Bovidae
Also listed under: 5 other names
Rfam family: tRNA
About the family: Transfer RNA (tRNA) molecules are approximately 80 nucleotides in length. Their secondary structure includes four short double-helical elements and three loops (D, anti-codon, and T loops).
Source: Rfam by way of RNAcentral